Molecule: transfer-messenger RNA, 360 nt
Filed under: Sphaerotilus hippei
Lineage: Bacteria; Pseudomonadati; Pseudomonadota; Betaproteobacteria; Burkholderiales; Sphaerotilaceae
Description: Standard tmRNA
Rfam family: transfer-messenger RNA
About the family: Bacterial tmRNA, also known as 10Sa RNA or SsrA, is named for its dual tRNA and mRNA-like properties. Its role is to liberate the mRNA from a stalled ribosome.
Source: Rfam by way of RNAcentral
GGGGCCGACCUGGUUUCGACGUGGGUACGGAAUCGGAGCAGGGCAUGCCGAGCACCAGUUCGCUCGUAAAACCACUGGAAACAAGCUAACUGCGAACGACGAACGUUUCGCCCUCGCCGCUUAACACCGGUGAGCCUCACAACAGCAGGCCAAUGGGCUGGGGUGGCAACACCUGUGAGGUUAUUUACAUUGGCUGGUCCUGAGCCGGGUCACUCGACCCAGGACGAGAUCUAGUGACUGGUGUUCCCGGCAGCGUGUUCCUGCGCGGCCGGUGCACGAGACUCAAAUCAGAGAACUAAGCUUGUAGAACUGCCUGAGGAAGGCUUGCGGACGGGGGUUCAAUUCCCCCCGGCUCCACCA